GGAGCAAUUACGCGUGAGGGAGGAAGGAUAUCGGGUCGUAAACCUCUUUUGUCAAGGAAGAAGUUCCGACGGUACUUGAGGAAUCAGCAUCGGCUAACUCCGUGCCAGCAGCCGCGGUAAUACGGAGGAUGCAAGCGUUAUCCGGAAUGAUUGGGCGUAAAGCGUCCGCAGGUGGUGGUGUGUGUCUAUUGUCAAAGCAUCAUGCUUAACAUGAUAAAGGCAGUAGAAACUACACGACUAGAGUGCGUUCGGGGCAGAGGGAAUUCCUGGUGUAGCGGUGUAAUGAGAUAGAGAUCAGGACGCCCAGUAGUCAUGGAAAUGUUCCGCAGUCGCAUAGAUANACUAGUAGUCAUAGCACUGACC
This 363-nucleotide ribosomal RNA is filed under the name uncultured cyanobacterium. RNAcentral describes it as "bacterial SSU rRNA". It matches the Rfam family "Bacterial small subunit ribosomal RNA", at positions 388 to 731 of the family's 1533-position model. The record is from RNAcentral. Lineage: Bacteria; Bacillati; Cyanobacteriota.